This 496-nucleotide ribosomal RNA is filed under the name uncultured bacterium. RNAcentral's name for it is "partial 16S ribosomal RNA". It matches the Rfam family "Bacterial small subunit ribosomal RNA", at positions 29 to 507 of the family's 1533-position model. The record is from RNAcentral.
AUGCACGCUGGCGGCGUGCCUCAUACAUGCAAGUCGCGCGCACAGACGAGGAGCUUGCUCCUCUGACGUUAGCGGCGGACGGGUGAGUAACACGUGGAUAACCUACCUAUAAGACUGGGAUAACUUCGGGAAACCGGAGCUAAUACCGGAUAAUAUAUUGAACCGCAUGGUUCAAUAGUGAAAGACGGUUUUGCUGUCACUUAUAGAUGGAUCCGCGCCGCAUUAGCUAGUUGGUAAGGUAACGGCUUACCAAGGCAACGAUGCGUAGCCGACCUGAGAGGGUGAUCGGCCACACUGGAACUGAGACACGGUCCAGACUCCUACGGGAGGCAGCAGUAGGGAAUCUUCCGCAAUGGGCGAGAGCCUGACGGAGCAACGCCGCGUGAGUGAUGAAGGUCUUCGGAUCGUAAAACUCUGUUAUUAGGGAAGAACAAAUGUGUAAGUAACUAUGCACGUCUUGACGGUACCUAAUCAGAAAGCCACGGCUAACUACGUG